AUACGGAGGGUGCAAGCGUUACUCGGAAUCACUGGGCGUAAAGCGCGCGCAGGCGGCUUGAUAAGUUGGAUGUGAAAGCCUACGGCUCAACCGUAGAACUGCAUCCAAAACUGUCAGGCUAGAGUGUGGGAGAGGAAGAUGGAAUUAGUUGUGUAGGGGUAAAAUCCGUAGAGAUAACUAGGAAUACCAAAAGCGAGGGCAAUCUUCUGGAACACUACUGACGCUGAGGCGCGAAGGCGAGGGGAGCAAACAGGAUUAGAUACCCGAGUAGUCC
RNAcentral lists this ribosomal RNA (274 nucleotides) under uncultured bacterium. Its description in RNAcentral is "partial 16S ribosomal RNA". It matches the Rfam family "Bacterial small subunit ribosomal RNA", at positions 523 to 796 of the family's 1533-position model. The record is from RNAcentral.